This 76-nucleotide transfer RNA is filed under the name Bacteroidales bacterium. RNAcentral describes it as "tRNA-Met". It matches the Rfam family "tRNA". Rfam says of the family: Transfer RNA (tRNA) molecules are approximately 80 nucleotides in length. Lineage: Bacteria; Pseudomonadati; Bacteroidota; Bacteroidia; Bacteroidales. The record is from RNAcentral.
UGCGGAUUAGAGAAGUGGUUAUCUCGCUAGCUUCAUGGGCUAGAGGUCAAAGGUUCAAAUCCUUUAUCCGCACCCA